This is a long non-coding RNA of Trachemys scripta elegans, 2763 nucleotides long. RefSeq lists it as uncharacterized. The record is from RefSeq and is a predicted model, not a curated record. Lineage: Eukaryota; Metazoa; Chordata; Testudines; Emydidae. The transcript has 7 exons.
UGGAAAGGGGAGGGCCCGUUGCAGAAGGGGGGAGGAGGGAGAAGUGCCCCAGAGCUGUUUGCUUUGCCAGGCUGAGUUUAUUUGCGCAGUACUUUUAUCACACCUUUCUGUUUGCUCCCGCCAGUAAACCGGGGUCUGUGUCAAACACUGACUCGGAGCAAUAAAAGGCCCUCCUGGAAAUCAGACAGAGCGACUGCGCUCCCCCGGCAGCCCCGCCGAGAAACCCGCUUCCCGGGGGUUGUUUUCUGGCGAGGAAAGAAUUGCUGAACUAGAGGAGAAAAGGCAACCCGGGAGCGAUGUCUCUGAAAGCCUGGCCCCACAUGGGCCCGGGGAUCAAUUGUGCCAGUCUCGGUUGGGCGAGUGACCGCAGCUUCUCCCCCACCAGGUCAGACAAAUCCCGUCCCCCGGUACCCCAGCUUUGCAGCUGAUCCUGCGCCCCUGGAAAUUGCCGAAUAUGCAAAAAAAAUACACAAAGCUCCCGGGUCGUCUCCAGCGAAUUCGGGAGCCAUUUAAACGCCUGCUAUUUUCUAGAGCGAUUUGUUACAAUCCGAGUUUAAAAGCCAGGUUGUGAAAACACCCCAGGUUUCGGACUAGGGGGAUUAUGGGUCCGAUCUCCGGGAGGAACCACGCGUCUACACCUGCUUUCUGCAAACCCAGUCCGCUUAGCGCCCGCUCCUCACCUGUGAGCAGUGUCUGCGUGCAAGGAGCUGGCUGCGUUCAGUUCCCAGUGGGACGAGACCCACAUUGCAAAGUUACCAUCACAACUGGCACCAGCUGGAAUCCUUGUUCGCUGGCCCAAUAUCGAAUGAGCCAUGCAGGCUGAAUGAUGUUCCCAGCCCCGAAAGCAGCUGUAGAUACCACUGGGUGAAAACUGUUUUCUCAGCAGCUUCCUCCCCCAGAAUUCAGUGGGGUGGUUGAAGGGUUUAAUGGGCCAUGAAUUAACUUCAUAGCCUUAGAGGUGUUCAAGGCAUUGGGCCCUCCAAUGCUGAGAAGAUCUGCAGUUUCAAGAGAGACUCAGACAAGCCUGGAUGUGCCUGCAGCAGAAAUGCAAGCAUCAAACCAUUAAAUACUAGGGGGCUUGCUUUAUGUUGCGCUGCCUUAGGUGACUGGCUGGCUGUGUAUGGUCUGGCCAUCAGACUGUACCUUUUCCUGGAACUCGAGCCUUUUACGCUUUCCAGCAGGGUGAAUGCUAAACGCAAAUAUUUAAAACAGUCUCUUGGACGCAUAGGGAACAAUUUGAUGAUCGGGCUGAUACUGCUGAAGACAGGGAGAGCUGCUGACUCACAGACAUUUGCCAAGAAGCUCGUGCAAACCCAUUUCAGCCUGUGGCACGUCCCCAAGCUGGUCGUGUCAACAGUCCGCUCUUCAGAUCAGUCGCACUGGCGGGAGGGCGGGUGCAAGACGGUGCCGGUUGCUGCCUGCAUUUUAAGCUCCAGGUCACGCAGACCUGCUGUGAGCAGGGUCGAACGCCGUCGUGCUUCAAACCUUAGCCUCUGCCUGGAGCCCAGCCUGUGCUAUUGUUUAUUAAUUGGGUAACAAAUGGCACCCAGAGGCCCCAGCCAAGACUGUGACCCUAUUGUGCAGGGUACUGUGUGUGCAGAGAAUGAGAGUUAGUCCCUGCUCUGCAGAGCUUACGGGCUACACAAACAAAGUCUGGGAAGGGAAACUGAGGCACGGAGAAUCACAGUGAUGGGCCCGUGGUCAUACCGUCGUGAGCGACAGAGCCAGAAAUAGAAACCCCAGUCUCCUGAGUCUCGUGCCAUCUGUGCUAGGUCAUACCACCGCGGCGAGACCGUUACACCUCUCCUGGACUAGCAUUCCCACUGGUGGAGCUGACCCAGGGAGAGCAACAAUGGGAAAUUUGGGAUCUUGUGCAAAGCCCUGAUCCUGCACUGGAGUCAACAGGUCUCUUCAUGAGCUCCAAGAGCAGGGUGCAGGAUCAGGCCCAAGACACUUAAUCUCUCUGCACCUGGGUGUGCCCGAGGGCUUCGAUUCUUGCAAUGAGAAGUGCUCUAGAAGUGCAAAAAUAUUGUUCGUGUUUCCUACUUUAAAAGUCAGUUGCCAGCACUUAUGAAACAGGCCCUGACCCCCACCAAAUCAUCAGCCCAUAUCGAAAAUAGUUUAGCUUCUCCCGCCCUGCUCCCACACAGCCAUGAGCGGACUCAUUUCUAGCCACAAUUCAUUCAUUAUCGAAAGGCAGCAGCAGCAGCAAGCCAGUCCGUUAAUUCCAGAGGUAAGAAAGGCCCUUUCUGCAGCCAGCUCCAGCCACAAACCCAAACAGAGAAAUGUGUCUUUGUCUAGGGAAGCUGCAGAGAAUGAAAUUCCCUUUGAGGAUAGACUUGUGUUUGUAAGAUUUCAACCUCCCUCCCCCCCAAAUCUGGACAAUAACAGCUUCUGUCUAAGGGAAUCAUUCCCCUAAGGUACCAGCUGAGUCUGGAGUAUUAUACUUUAGUACAGUAAUUAGGGUUCUGCUGCUGAUAAGGGUGCUGACCUAAGCCACUCUCUGCUAUGGACAGGCCAGUGAACUGAGUGUGCAUUACCUUCUGCUUCUAGCAGGACUCCCAGCUGCGUAGUAAUAGAAAGAAAUGUAAACAACUGGAGAUCUGUUGCUGAGGGAGCAGGAGGCUGGGCAGGGGACGGUAGGUGGCACAAUAACAUACAGUUGGUGGUAGGCCUGCUUUUGCCAUUGGAGUAAAUGGGAGCUUUGCCAUUGACUUAAAUGGGUACAGGAUCAGCCUGUAAAUUAAGAACAUAAGAACGGCC